UCUCAAGAGGAAAUGAAAGGAGACAGAUGUGGUUUUGCCUUAAGAUUUUCUGAUACGAACCACUGGAUAGAUUCAUUUGGAAAGAGAAAGAUGGGCCGCAAAGUGUGAUGUAAUUGCAGGCAUUUGAAGUCCCUGCUAGAGAUGGAGAAAUUAAGGUGAAGACUGAUCUCAGAUCUGGAAAGAGGCUGAGGUGUGGAAAGCCAUGAAUACCAGGCUAAGGGGUCUCAGCUCUGCUGUGCAGGCUGAAGCACUGGGCUGGGGAAGCACUUAGGCCAGCCACAAGGUGCGAAACAACUGCAUUACUGACAGAGGAGACCAUGCCUGAAGUGGGAACCCUAAUAAUGGCACAGGAGACAGGACGGAGGUUCAUUGCCUCGGGAAGGCUGGGAUAAGCAGCUGCUGCUUACGCAGCAG
This is a long non-coding RNA of Pteronotus mesoamericanus, 414 nucleotides long. RefSeq lists it as uncharacterized. The transcript is spliced from 3 exons. NCBI's taxonomy places the organism in Eukaryota, Metazoa, Chordata, Mammalia, Chiroptera, Mormoopidae. The record is from RefSeq and is a predicted model, not a curated record.